AAGUCGUAACAAGGUUUCCGUAGGUGAACCUGCGGAAGGAUCAUUGUCGAUAUAUUCGAGGGAAACCUCGUUCAAUAUAUUACAAACACCUCGUGCACCUCUACGUGAAAGGAAGUGAAAGGGUUCGUCCCCCUCUUCCGUUCCGUAUUUUUCUUAUAAAUGCCUUCUGUCGUUUAACGCGUGUAUUUUGAAUAAUUUGAAAAUUAAAACACAACUUUCAACAACGGAUCUCUUGGCUUUC
Molecule: unclassified non-coding RNA, 241 nt
Filed under: Lysurus cruciatus
Lineage: Eukaryota; Fungi; Basidiomycota; Agaricomycetes; Phallales; Phallaceae
Also listed under: 1 other name
Description: partial internal transcribed spacer region
Rfam family: Eukaryotic small subunit ribosomal RNA (bases 1-46)
Source: RNAcentral